This 73-nucleotide transfer RNA is filed under the name Humisphaera borealis. RNAcentral's name for it is "tRNA-Leu". It matches the Rfam family "tRNA". From Rfam's summary of the family: Transfer RNA (tRNA) molecules are approximately 80 nucleotides in length. Their secondary structure includes four short double-helical elements and three loops (D, anti-codon, and T loops). The record is from RNAcentral. Lineage: Bacteria; Pseudomonadati; Planctomycetota; Phycisphaerae; Tepidisphaerales; Tepidisphaeraceae.
GCCACGCUGGCCCAACGGAAGAGGCAUCCGGCUUAAGAUCGGACAGUUGAGGGUUCGACUCCCUCGCGUGGCA